UACGGAGGGGGCUAGCGUUGUUCGGAAUUACUGGGCGUAAAGCGUGCGUAGGUGGUUUGUUAAGUCUGUUGUGAAAGCCCCGGGCUCAACCUGGGAAUGGCAAUGGAUACUGGCAAGCUAGAGUGCGGUAGAGGGUAGUGGAAUUCCCGGUGUAGCGGUGAAAUUCGUAGAUACCAGAAGGAACACCGGUGGCGAAGGCGGCUAUCUGGCUCAUUCUUGACGCUCUGGCGCGAAAGCGUGGGGAUCAAACAGG
RNAcentral lists this ribosomal RNA (253 nucleotides) under uncultured bacterium. Its description in RNAcentral is "partial 16S ribosomal RNA". It matches the Rfam family "Bacterial small subunit ribosomal RNA", at positions 524 to 776 of the family's 1533-position model. The record is from RNAcentral.